RNAcentral lists this ribosomal RNA (391 nucleotides) under Salmonella enterica subsp. enterica serovar Kentucky. RNAcentral's name for it is "partial 23S ribosomal RNA". It matches the Rfam family "Bacterial large subunit ribosomal RNA", at positions 1300 to 1693 of the family's 2925-position model. The record is from RNAcentral. Lineage: Bacteria; Pseudomonadati; Pseudomonadota; Gammaproteobacteria; Enterobacterales; Enterobacteriaceae.
ACAUAAGUAACGAUAAAGCGGGUGAAAAGCCCGCUCGCCGGAAGACCAAGGGUUCCUGUCCAACGUUAAUCGGGGCAGGGUGAGUCGACCCCUAAGGCGAGGCCGAAAGGCGUAGUCGAUGGGAAACGGGUUAAUAUUCCCGUACUUGGUGUUACUGCGAAGGGGGGACGGAGAAGGCUAUGUUGGCCGGGCGACGGUUGUCCCGGUUUAAGCGUGUAGGCUGGUUUUCCAGGCAAAUCCGGAAAAUCAAGGCUGAGGCGUGAUGACGAGGCACUACGGUGCUGAAGCAACAAAUGCCCUGCUUCCAGGAAAAGCCUCUAAGCAUCAGGUAACAUCAAAUCGUACCCCAAACCGACACAGGUGGUCAGGUAGAGAAUACCAAGGCGCUUGA